RNAcentral lists this ribosomal RNA (655 nucleotides) under uncultured bacterium. Its description in RNAcentral is "bacterial SSU rRNA". It matches the Rfam family "Bacterial small subunit ribosomal RNA", at positions 51 to 719 of the family's 1533-position model. The record is from RNAcentral.
ACACAUGCAAGUCGAACGAGAGAUGAGGAGCUUGCUCUUCAAAUCGAGUGGCGAACGGGUGAGUAACGCGUGAGGAACCUGCCUCAAAGAGGGGGACAACAGUUGGAAACGACUGCUAAUACCGCAUAAGCCCACGGCUCGGCAUCGAGCAGAGGGAAAAGGAGUGAUCCGCUUUGAGAUGGCCUCGCGUCCGAUUAGCUAGUUGGUGAGGUAAUGGCCCACCAAGGCGACGAUCGGUAGCCGGACUGAGAGGUUGAACGGCCACAUUGGGACUGAGACACGGCCCAGACUCCUACGGGAGGCAGCAGUGGGGAAUAUUGCACAAUGGGGGAAACCCUGAUGCAGCGACGCCGCGUGGAGGAAGAAGGUCUUCGGAUUGUAAACUCCUGUUGUUGAGGAAGAUAAUGACGGUACUCAACAAGGAAGUGACGGCUAACUACGUGCCAGCAGCCGCGGUAAAACGUAGGUCACAAGCGUUGUCCGGAAUUACUGGGUGUAAAGGGAGCGCAGGCGGGAGAACAAGUUGGAAGUGAAAUCCAUGGGCUCAACCCAUGAACUGCUUUCAAAACUGUUUUUCUUGAGUAGUGCAGAGGUAGGCGGAAUUCCCGGUGUAGCGGUGGAAUGCGUAGAUAUCGGGAGGAACACCAGUGGCGAA